RNAcentral lists this ribosomal RNA (497 nucleotides) under uncultured bacterium. RNAcentral's name for it is "partial 16S ribosomal RNA". It matches the Rfam family "Bacterial small subunit ribosomal RNA", at positions 28 to 507 of the family's 1533-position model. The record is from RNAcentral.
GAUGAACGCUGGCGGCGUGCCUAAUACAUGCAAGUCGAGCGAACAGACGAGGAGCUUGCUCCUCUGACGUUAGCGGCGGACGGGUGAGUAACACGUGGAUAACCUACCUAUAAGACUGGGAUAACUUCGGGAAACCGGAGCUAAUGCCGGAUAAUAUAUUGAACCGCAUGGUUCAAUAGUGAAAGACGGUUUUGCUGUCACUUAUAGAUGGAUCCGCGCCGCAUUAGCUAGUUGGUAAGGUAACGGCUUACCAAGGCAACGAUGCGUAGCCGACCUGAGAGGGUGAUCGGCCAAACUGGAACUGAGACACGGUCCAGACUCCUACGGGAGGCAGCAGUAGGGAAUCUUCCGCAAUGGGCGAAAGCUUGACGGAGCAACGCCGCGUGAGUGAUGAAGGUCUUCGGAUCGUAAAACUCUGUUAUUAGGGAAGAACAAAUGUGUAAGUAACUAUGCACGUCUUGACGGUACCUAAUCAGAAAGCCACGGCUAACUACGUG